AGGCUUGGAAUCACACGGUCGUCA
RNAcentral lists this non-coding RNA (24 nucleotides) under Arabidopsis thaliana (thale cress). The record is from RNAcentral. Lineage: Eukaryota; Viridiplantae; Streptophyta; Magnoliopsida; Brassicales; Brassicaceae.